CCUACGGGUGGCAGCAGUAGGGAAUCUUCCACAAUGGGCGCAAGUCUGAUGGAGCAACACCGCGUGAGUGAAGAAGGGUUUCGGCUCGUAAAGCUCUGUUGUUGGUGAAGAAAGUGCGAGGUAGUAACUGUCCAUGCUUUGACGGUAAUUACUUAGAAAGUCACGGCUAACUACGUGCCAGCAGCCGCGGUAAUACGUAGGUGGCAAGCGUUGUCCGGAUUUAUUGGGCGUAAAGCGAGUGCAGGCGGUUCCAUAGGUCUGAUGUGAAAGCCUUCGGCUUAACCGGAGAAUUGCAUCAGAAACUGGUGAACUUGAGUGCAGAAGAGGAGAGUGGAACUCCAUGUGUAGCGGUGGAAUGCGUAGAUAUAUGGAAGAACACCAGUGGCGAAGGCGGCUGUCUGGUCUGCAACUGACGCUGAGGCUCGAAAGCAUGGGUAGCGAACAGGAUUAGAUACCCGGGUAGUC
RNAcentral lists this ribosomal RNA (465 nucleotides) under uncultured bacterium. RNAcentral describes it as "partial 16S ribosomal RNA". It matches the Rfam family "Bacterial small subunit ribosomal RNA", at positions 338 to 795 of the family's 1533-position model. The record is from RNAcentral.